Amphiprion ocellaris (clown anemonefish) is the source of this 4780-nucleotide long non-coding RNA. RefSeq lists it as uncharacterized. Lineage: Eukaryota; Metazoa; Chordata; Actinopteri; Pomacentridae. The transcript is spliced from 2 exons. The record is from RefSeq and is a predicted model, not a curated record.
UCUGAAGGGGGAUGUUGUGGAUUCUCAGAGCACAUGCUGUACCUUGGAGGGCCCCUCAGAUAACUACAGUCAUAGAUGUAACAUGAGGAAAGAAAUGGGAUGCCAUCGCAAGGACCUAGAGGUGCAACAAAUCUGGAGUGUAACACAAGCACCAUGCCAGAAAUACUUGGAAAUAAGACUAAUAAAAACAAAAUAGAUGGGAGAAAAAAAAUCAAACAACUCAAUACUGUCAGAGUAUUUUUUAUCAGUGAAAACUGAAGAGCAAUAAUAGAAAACAGCAGCAGUUUUAAGUCACCAUUGUACCUUAAACCAAAUCAUGUCUGGUUUCCAACAUUACGUUGGCUAUGGCCAGAUUUAACAGAGCAGAUGAUGAAGUGAUUUUAUCUAUGAAAACAGAGUGAAGGUCUUCAUUUCAGCAGCUCAAAUAUGAGGAUUUGUUGACUUUAUUACUCUUCCAUUACUGUGAAAGGACUUGUUUUGGACUGUGAGGUGGACAAAAGUUGACAUCUGGAGAGCUGUGCUGCACAUUUUCAGCAUCCUGAUGUUUGACUGUGGACCAGAUGUGUAGCUGAGCAGGUAAACAGCAGGUGAAGUGUCUACCCACAGGAUAAACCAGCAUGUGUGUCCUCCCACUGGCUGGACAGAAGCAUUUCCUGAAACCGGAGACUAAAACUGACUCCACCGAGCUGCUAAUGGCUUCACCAACCUUUACCGAGUUCUCUCAAUAACCACGCACGGAGUCGGACUGCGUGUGCGCGUGUGCUGGCUGCUGUUGGGAUUAUUGUGCUACCAGAUGGGUAACAUUAGGUUAGCAUUGUCUCCAAACCACGAGCUAGUAACUUACACUGGCUAGCGCUAGCUCAGUUAGCCGCACUGUCUCACUGACACUUCCACGACCAGGACAGUAUCACGGCAGGGGGCUGUCAGCGUGGGUUUGGAUAAGCAGGGAUUUCACUCAAACGACCCCGUGUGUGUGUGUGUGUGUGUGUGUGUGUGUGUGUGUGUGUGUGUGUGUGUGUGUGUGUGUGUGUGUGUGUGUGUGUGUGCGUGUGUGGGUGUGUGUGUGUGUGUGUGUGUUUGACCUGCUAACAGCCGAAGUUACCAGACUGCCAAAAAAGGGAGCUAACGCUAGCUGCUGUCCAAACAUCCACUGACCUUCCCAGUAAGACCAGCGAACACCAGUAAAUAUCCACGGAAACGCAGCACAGCCUCUACUUUAAUACUACGACUACAGUCCUGACGGUAAGCCCUGAUGCCACUAAAGCCAGAGCCCGGGUUUGUGUUUAUUUUGGUUACCUACCAUUUUUACACCCGCUGCUUCACCACUCUGGUAGUCCGACUGCCGCUCAUUGUGCGCCUGCGCGGAAGUAGCAGAAAAGCUGUUCCAGGUUUGAGAUGAGGUUAAAAAAAAAGGAGAUGAGGUUUAAAAAAAGAUGAGUUUUAAAAAAUAAAUAGAGAGAUGAGGUUAAAAAAAAUGAGAUGUGAGGUUUAAAAAAAAUAAAAAGAUAGAUGAGGUUUUAAAAAAGAGAGAUGAGGUUUAAAAAAUAAUUAAAAAAUGAGAGGUGAGGUUUAAAAAAAAAUCAGAGAUGAGGUUUGGUGGCAGCUGAUCUGUUGUUGUUUGCUUUAUUUCCAUUCAUUCACCAAAAUAAAUCCGUGUGUAUGGAAGCCCGUUUUCGCCACUUGGAAAAAAAAGUCACAUGCUAUCUCAUAAUUAUGACUUAAUAUCUCAUAAUAAUGACUUAAUAUCUCAUAAUAAUGACUUUCUAACUCAUAAUUAUGACUUACUGUCUCAUAAUUAUGACUUACGGUCUCAUAAUUAUGAGACAGCAUGUGAUUUUUUUUUCAAACAGACUUCCAUAUAUGUGCAUGUGUUUAUUUAUUCAAGAAAUAAAGAAAGUGAUUUCUUUUGUUUUUUUUACUGAAACAUAAACAAAUAUACAGCAAGCAAAUGCGUUCUUUUUGGACGUAAAGAAAAAGUUUUUUUAAAAUGUAUUUCUAUUUUUCUGGUCAGAAAGUGGUUUAAUGUAGUCGGCUGUGCAAUAAAUAAAUUCAUACAUACAUAAAUAAACUGCUCAGGUGGUGGAAAAUUCUCAGUGACUGAGGUAAUCCACACCAUAGUCAUGUGUGCAGUUAAAUGACAGUGAUCACACAAUGUGCCCAAUACCCUGACAUUCCUCUGACCAGUGGCUACAAAAGGACACGUACAAAUGCAGCUUUAUUCAAAUGACACGAUGCCACAGAUGACAGGUCAGUUAGGGCUGUAGGCACUCGACUGUCCCACACUCAACCAUUUGUAGUCAGAGAAUUUACUACCAGGGUCAGUCUAUAACUGAGGGACUUUGAAGUCCAUGGGAUAAAUCUGGCAUACAUUUUUAUUAAAAGUAAAAAUUUAAUGCUUUUUAAGAUAGAUAAAAUAAUCCUUUAUUACUCCCCAGGUCAGGGGAAAUUUCAGUGUUCCAGCAGCAAACAUCUUUCAUAGCGGCACUAACUAUAUGUACAGUAAUGAUAAUAAUUAGAAUAACAAUAAUAUGUACAAAAUAUACAAGAAUGAAGAAUGAAUAAAAAAUGAAUAAAUACAGUAUUAACCUUUUUAUGUUUAUUAUGAUCAUGUCUUUACAAAUUCCAUCAUUAUUUAUUAUGGAAACAAUCACUUAUUAAUAAAAAUGGCUGGAUAUCACUAAAAUGUCAACUAAAUAACCGUCUGAAUUUAAUACCAACCACCUUCUAAUGAGCUAAACAAUAAUAAAAUGAGCUGAUUCAGAAAUAGUUUGGAUUGUGUUCUUUUAUUAAGUUGAGAUAAUCAUGACAGAUAUUUCUUUUUUGGCAAUAUGUCACAUUUUAUAUAGAAAAUAACAAAUUAAAUUUCCACUAAGUUCCCCAUUCCAAAAACACCUCUCCAGGAAGUGAAUUAAUUCCAGAUCACAUGAGUCACAACAGGUUUACUACAACAUCUUUAUAAAUAACUUUCAAUUUCAAUUUUACUCAGUUGUAUAUAUAAUAUUUAGAAGAAUCUUUCUCUAAAAUGCCAUGUGGUGUUUGGUUAUAGACGGUCAUGUUGAUUUUAGGUCUGAAAACAGCAAAAAUGUCGACUAUGAUACAAAAAGUCCUGCAGUUAUAUGUUGACCCACCAGAUGAUGCCCUGGAUAAAUGUGUCUGACAGCAUAAUCCUGCAUACUUGAUUGUUUGAUGAUGUCCACUGUGCUGUAGAGAUGCCGUGCGCUGGACCAACAAAUACUUACUCAAGUAUGUUAAAAAAGAAUGCCUAAAAUUCAAUACAAUAUUAAAUGUUGCAUUUACAGUUUUGCUUAGUAUAUUUUUAUAGCAGGUAUAACAUAGAAAAUAUCCCCCAAGACUGCAUACAACACUGUUAAAAAUAAAACACAACUCCACCCUUCACCCUCAACACACAGGGACACACUGUCUGACUCAACACCCAAACACACCAGCACAACCAAUGUAACACACACCCUGAAACACAGGAAUUACAGUUCUUCUUUAAUACACAUCAAUCCAGUCCUGAUGUCCUAAUAAGAGACGGACAGCUCACACUGCAGUAGAUUCAUUUGAGAGAAAGAUUUGUCCAAACUGACUUACAGUAACUGGCAUUCAAGCUGCACUGAAACGUGAGCUAUAGGUGACAUCAAAAACAGCUAAAUGAAAAAGUAAAGUAGGUAUCCUAAGGACCCCAGAACCGCAGGAGCCCCUAAAACCUCAGAUUUUCUGUGUGUCAUGUUGUUUAUUCCUGUUUAAGUGGAGCUUUGUCUGGAAAUAUGCACAGUUAACCCUCAUGUCGUCUUGUGGGUCAAAAUUGACCCGUUUUAAAGUUUGAAAAUGUGAAAAAAAUAUAUAGUUUCACAGAGAAACUUCUGAUGUCCACAUUUUCAACAUUUUUGGGAAAUCAAUGAACAUUUUUUGGUGGAAAAAAAGAAAUGUUAAAAUGUUUCUGAAGAACAUUCAGAAAAAAAUCAACCAAAAUCUGUUACAGCCACAGCUUAGGCUGUGAGCUGUGGCAGGACUCUCUCCUCCCUCGGCCUUGCUCUCUCUACCGUACAGGUGUGUGACGCUGAUGAGAGGUCCAGGUGUUUCUAUUCGCAAUCAGCAGAUCGUGUGCAGGUGGAGGCCGGCUAAUCAGCUUCUGUGGCGUCUCUAUAAACACUGCGCUCAGUGCUGACCUCUGCCUGCUGUUGGUUCCUGAUUCCUCCGGUCUUCUCCGUGGAUUCUGUUGGAUUGAGGAAAUUGACCGUCGUCAGAACCACCAGGAUAACACCAACCACAACACCUGGAGUGUCCAGAUCCAUCUUAUCUCCUUCUUCUCCUGCCUCGUUUGGGACGCCAUACCUACCAUCCUCAUGUCUGCUUAUUGAUAGGAGGCUCCUAGGAAGAACCAAGAGGAGACGAAUUCCCCCAUGGACAUUCCCCCUCCCUCUCUUCUAGUGUCAGUAAGGUUCUCCAGCCCUAGAGUCACCAGACGUAGAUUAUACCAACCUGUUUUCGUCGGCUCUUAACCUUUGGGGUUUUUUAGGUUAGAGCUUUUGGGGUUUCAGUACAGUUACUGGCUGUUUUGCGUUUUAGUUGGGUUUCCUUAGUUGUUUUCCUGCCUUGGUUAUACCAGUAGUGGGUUAAUUGUAGUUUUGGGUUUUGUUUUUGUUUUUAGUCCUCCUUACCUCUAGAGGCGUUUAUGUUCAGUUCUUUCUUAGUUACUUCUGGCUCGGAUUUGUAAUUCCGGUUUUUGUUAUGCAUGUAUUCCUUGAGUCUGUAAAUAAAGCACUUUAAACACAAA